UUUGGUGGCGAUGGCGGAGGGGUUCCACGCGUACCCAUCCCGAACACGACCGUUAAGCCCUCCAGCG
This 67-nucleotide ribosomal RNA is filed under the name Paenibacillus agri. The record is from RNAcentral. Lineage: Bacteria; Bacillati; Bacillota; Bacilli; Caryophanales; Paenibacillaceae.